RNAcentral lists this ribosomal RNA (490 nucleotides) under uncultured bacterium. RNAcentral describes it as "partial 16S ribosomal RNA". It matches the Rfam family "Bacterial small subunit ribosomal RNA", at positions 30 to 507 of the family's 1533-position model. The record is from RNAcentral.
AUUGAACGCUGGCGGCAUGCCUUACACAUGCAAGUCGAACGGCAGCAUGAUCUAGCUUGCUCGAUUGAUGGCGAGUGGCGAACGGGUGAGUAAUACAUCGGAACGUGCCCUGUAGUGGGGGAUAACUAGUCGAAAGAUUAGCUAAUACCGCAUACGACCUGAGGGUGAAAGUGGGGGACCGCAAGGCCUCAUGCUAUAGGAGCGGCCGAUGUCUGAUUAGCUAGUUGGUGAGGUAAAGGCUCACCAAGGCGACGAUCAGUAGCUGGUCCGAGAGGACGAUCAGCCACACUGGGACUGAGACACGGCCCAGACUCCUACGGGAGGCAGCAGUGGGGAAUUUUGGACAAUGGGCGAAAGCCUGAUCCAGCAAUGCCGCGUGUGUGAAGAAGGCCUUCGGGUUGUAAAGCACUUUUGUCCGGAAAGAAAUGGCUCUGGUUAAUACCUGGGGUCGAUGACGGUACCGGAAGAAUAAGGACCGGCUAACUACGUG